CAGCAGCCGCGGUAAUACGAAGGGGGCUAGCGUUGCUCGGAAUGACUGGGCGUAAAGAGCGCGUAGGCGGCCAUUCAAGUUAGGUGUGAAAGCCCUGGGCUCAACCUAGGAAUUGCAUUUGAUACUGUUUGGCUUGAGUUCGGGAGAGGUGAGUGGAAUUCCCAGUGUAGAGGUGAAAUUCGUAGAUAUUGGGAAGAACACCAGUGGCGAAGGCGGCUCACUGGACCGACACUGACGCUGAGGCGCGAAAGCGUGGGGAGCAAACAGGAUUAGAUACCCCAGUAGUCCCUGUCUCUUAUAA
This 301-nucleotide ribosomal RNA is filed under the name uncultured bacterium. RNAcentral's name for it is "partial 16S ribosomal RNA". It matches the Rfam family "Bacterial small subunit ribosomal RNA", at positions 509 to 809 of the family's 1533-position model. The record is from RNAcentral.